AAGCCUGAUGCAGCGACGCCGCGUGAGGGAUGAAGGCCUUCGGGUUGUAAACCUCUUUCAGCAGGGAAGAAGCGCAAGUGACGGUACCUGCAGAAGAAGCGCCGGCUAACUACGUGCCAGCAGCCGCGGUAAUACGUAGGGCGCAAGCGUUGUCCGGAAUUAUUGGGCGUAAAGAGCUCGUAGGCGGUCUGUCGCGUCUGGUGUGAAAACCCAUGGCUCAACCAUGGGCUUGCAUCGGGUACGGGCAGACUAGAGUGCGGUAGGGGAGACUGGAAUUCCUGGUGUAGCGGUGGAAUGCGCAGAUAUCAGGAGGAACACCGAUGGCGAAGGCAGGUCUCUGGGCCGCAACUGACGCUGAGGAGCGAAAGCAUGGGGAGCGAACAGGAUUAGAUACCCUGGUAGUCCAUGCCGUAAACGUUGGGCACUAGGUGUGGGGCUCAUUCCACGAGUUCCGUGCCGCAGCAAACGCAUUAAGUGCCCCGCCUGGGGAGUACGGCCGCAAGGCUAAAACUCAAAGGAAUUGACGGGGGCCCGCACAAGCGGCGGAGCAUGCGGAUUAAUUCGAUGCAACGCGAAGAACCUUACCAAGGCUUGACAUGCACGGGAAGCCACCAGAGAUGGUGGUCUCUUUGGACACUCGUGCACAGGUGGUGCAUGGUUGUCGUCAGCUCGUGUCGUGAGAUGUUGGGUUAAGUCCCGCAACGAGCGCAACCCUCGUCCCAUGUUGCCAGCGGGUUAUGCCGGGGACUCAUGGGAGACUGCCGGGGUCAACUCGGAGGAAGGUGGGGAUGACGUCAAAUCAUCAUGCCCCUUAUGUCUUGGGCUUCACGCAUGCUACAAUGGCCGGUACAAAGGGCUGCGAUACCGUAAGGUGGAGCGAAUCCCAAAAAGCCGGUCUCAGUUCGGAUUGGGGUCUGCAACUCGACCCCAUGAAGUCGGAGUCGCUAGUAAUCGCAGAUCAGCAACGCUGCGGUGAAUACGUUCCCGGGCCUUGUACACACCGCCCGUCAAGUCACGAAAGUCGGUAACACCCGAAGCC
This 1039-nucleotide ribosomal RNA is filed under the name Cellulosimicrobium sp. ORG7-6. Its description in RNAcentral is "bacterial SSU rRNA". It matches the Rfam family "Bacterial small subunit ribosomal RNA", at positions 379 to 1428 of the family's 1533-position model. Lineage: Bacteria; Bacillati; Actinomycetota; Actinomycetes; Micrococcales; Promicromonosporaceae. The record is from RNAcentral.